Molecule: long non-coding RNA, 245 nt
Filed under: Gallus gallus (chicken)
Lineage: Eukaryota; Metazoa; Chordata; Aves; Galliformes; Phasianidae
Source: RNAcentral
AGCAAAUUAUACUGCACCUGUUCAAAUAAGUACACAGGGGCCUUGGAAUACUGGUGGAGCAGAUAGUCAAACACCAAGAGCAGGCGUGCCACAAUAAGCGGUACAGAACUUUGCUGGGUGUCCAUGUUCCCUGUCAGCUCCACAAUUGUCUGGAUACAGAGCAUCAUGAUAGACCUGCGGCCCCUCUCAGAAAAAUUGUGAAAAAUAAGCAGCAGCAGCUGGAGAUGUUCAACGUUCAGAUCUUC